This 216-nucleotide ribosomal RNA is filed under the name Triticum aestivum (bread wheat). RNAcentral describes it as "partial small subunit ribosomal RNA". The record is from RNAcentral. Lineage: Eukaryota; Viridiplantae; Streptophyta; Magnoliopsida; Poales; Poaceae.
AUGAAAAUCAUUAGUUGGAACUGCAUGGGACUUGGGAAUGGCCCGACAGUUCGAUCUCUCGUCGAGUUGGGGAGAGUGGAGGAUCACGAUGUGUUAUUCUUGGCGGAGACUCGGCUCACAGAGAAGUAGUUGGACAAAUUUCGGUGGAAGUUAGGGCUCGCUAACAUGUCUGCCUGGAAUCCAGUGGGUAGAAGUCGAGGGGUUUCCAUGUUCUAG